ACUCCUGCGGGAGGCAGCAGUGGGGAAUAUUGGACAAUGGGCGCAAGCCUGAUCCAGCCAUGCCGCGUGAGUGAUGAAGGCCCUAGGGUUGUAAAGCUCUUUCACCGGUGAAGAUAAUGACGGUAACCGGAGAAGAAGCACCGGCUAACUUCGUGCCAGCAGCCGCGGUAAUACGAAGGGGGCUAGCGUUGUUCGGAUUUACUGGGCGUAAAGCGCACGUAGGCGGACUAUUAAGUCAGGGGUGAAAUCCCGGGGCUCAACCCCGGAACUGCCUUUGAUACUGGUAGUCUUGAGUUCGAGAGAGGUGAGUGGAAUUCCGAGUGUAGAGGUGAAAUUCGUAGAUAUUCGGAGGAACACCAGUGGCGAAGGCGGCUCACUGGCUCGAUACUGACGCUGAGGUGCGAAAGCGUGGGGAGCAAACAGGAUUAGAAACCCGUGUAGUCCCAUGAU
RNAcentral lists this ribosomal RNA (450 nucleotides) under uncultured organism. RNAcentral's name for it is "partial 16S ribosomal RNA". It matches the Rfam family "Bacterial small subunit ribosomal RNA", at positions 335 to 801 of the family's 1533-position model. The record is from RNAcentral.